UAGGAGGGGUCCUAGCGUUGCUCGGAAUCAUUGGGCGUAAAGCGGGUGUAGGCGGACAACCAAGUCAGAUGUGAAAGCCCCAGGCUCAACCUGGGAAGUGCAUUUGAAACUGGUUAUCUUGAGUGCAGUAGAGGAAGGUGGAAUUCCAAGUGUAGUGGUGAAAUACGUAGAUAUUUGGAGGAACAUCGGUGGCGAAGGCGACCUUCUGGACUGUUACUGACGCUGAGACCCGAAAGCGUGGGGAUCAAACAGG
Molecule: ribosomal RNA, 253 nt
Filed under: uncultured bacterium
Lineage: Bacteria
Description: partial 16S ribosomal RNA
Rfam family: Bacterial small subunit ribosomal RNA
Source: RNAcentral